This 123-nucleotide unclassified non-coding RNA is filed under the name Human adenovirus 7. Lineage: Varidnaviria; Bamfordvirae; Preplasmiviricota; Pharingeaviricetes; Rowavirales; Adenoviridae. The record is from RNAcentral.
CGGCUCGUCUCCGUGGCCUGGAGGCUAAGCGAACGGGUUGGGCUGCGCGUGUACCCCGGUUCGAAUCUCGGAUCAGGCUGGAGCCGCAGCUAACGUGGUACUGGCACUCCCGUCUCGACCCAG